This 211-nucleotide long non-coding RNA is filed under the name Pongo abelii (Sumatran orangutan). RNAcentral describes it as "lincRNA". Lineage: Eukaryota; Metazoa; Chordata; Mammalia; Primates; Hominidae. The record is from RNAcentral.
GCAGCAGUAGGACUGACUGGAGCCAUUGUACAGUGUCGGGAACACACCAGGACACUGAGAAUAGCGUCAUGUCAUAAAAACUCAGAGCAGAUGGACCCUGCUGUGAUGCACAAAGAGGACUAUGCAAGAUAUGAUAAAGAUCUAUGUCACUGAAUUUUUGGUUCUAUAUUUGUAUCUCAGCUUCCUGGAAAUAAAAAAGAAUUCUAACAUU